This 71-nucleotide transfer RNA is filed under the name Camelus dromedarius (Arabian camel). It matches the Rfam family "tRNA". From Rfam's summary of the family: Transfer RNA (tRNA) molecules are approximately 80 nucleotides in length. Their secondary structure includes four short double-helical elements and three loops (D, anti-codon, and T loops). The record is from Rfam by way of RNAcentral. Lineage: Eukaryota; Metazoa; Chordata; Mammalia; Artiodactyla; Camelidae. RNAcentral also lists the same sequence under 1 other name.
GAGGGUGUAGCUCAGUGGUAGAGCACAUGCUUAGCAUGCACAAGGUCCUGGGUUCAAUCCCCACACCUCCA